Molecule: long non-coding RNA, 647 nt
Filed under: Nicotiana benthamiana
Lineage: Eukaryota; Viridiplantae; Streptophyta; Magnoliopsida; Solanales; Solanaceae
Description: long non-coding RNA (NBEN_LNC004648)
Source: RNAcentral
CAGUUCAUUGUUCUUUCCCAUAAGUCAACAGUGACUGGGCAGAACAAUAGCAAAUGGUCUCUAGUUUCUGGGUGAUUUUGGCAUAAGGUACAUUGUUGGUCAACACUCAUUCCCCAGUUGUGAAAUCUGUCUUUUGUUGGGAGUCUGUCCUGUAAGAAUAGCCAUAGAUUGAAGGUGGCCUUUGGCCUCGCAUAGUUUUGUAUGAUUAAAUUCUUCCAUGGGACUCUCGGCAGGUCUUGCAUCUGUGACUGGUACAACUGUCUAGUUGAGCAUCUCUGUUCCUUCCCAUAAGUCCACAGUGACUGGGCAGGAUACUAGUAGAUGGUCUCUAGUUUCUGGGUGAUUUUUGGCAUAAGGUACAUUGUUGGUCAAUACUCAUUCCUCUUCUGUGCAAUCUGUCCUUUGUUGGGAGUCUGUCCUGUAAGAAUAGCCAUAGAUUGAAGGUGGCCUUUGGCCUCGCAUAGUUUUGUAUGAUUAAAUUCUUCCAUGGGACUCUCGGCAGGUCUUGCAUAUGUGAAUGGUACAACUGUCUAAUUGAGCAUCCUUGUUCCUUCCAGUUCUGGACCCUCUGUAAGAUGUCUCUCGAUUGGAUGAUCUUUCUAACCAUCCAACUUGCCUGAGCAGGAAUUGGAAUGGAUUCAAUAGGU